AGCAGAAGCCAUAUCACCCUGCAGCCCAAGACCGGUAACUGAAGCUAAGCAGGGCUGAGCCUGGUCAGUACCUGGAGGGGAGUCUACAUGGGAAAAAUAGGUUGCUUUUGGAA
RNAcentral lists this ribosomal RNA (113 nucleotides) under Danio rerio (zebrafish). Lineage: Eukaryota; Metazoa; Chordata; Actinopteri; Cypriniformes; Danionidae. The record is from RNAcentral.